Small nucleolar RNA from Xenopus tropicalis (tropical clawed frog), 68 nucleotides. Lineage: Eukaryota; Metazoa; Chordata; Amphibia; Anura; Pipidae. The record is from Ensembl.
CUGGAAAUGAUGCAUGUAAUUAACCUGAUAUAAUAUGAGGGUUAUUGUAUUCAUACUGUCUGAUCCAG